RNAcentral lists this ribosomal RNA (301 nucleotides) under uncultured bacterium. Its description in RNAcentral is "partial 16S ribosomal RNA". It matches the Rfam family "Bacterial small subunit ribosomal RNA", at positions 509 to 807 of the family's 1533-position model. The record is from RNAcentral.
CAGUCGCCGCGGUAAUACAGAGGGUGCGAGCGUUAAUCGGAUUUACUGGGCGUAAAGCGUGCGUAGGUGGUGGUUUAAGUCCGUUGUGAAAGCCCUGGGCUCAACCUGGGAAUUGCAGUGGAUACUGGGUCACUAGAGUGUGGUAGAGGAUAGUGGAAUUUCCGGUGUAGCAGUGAAAUGCGUAGAGAUCGGAAGGAACAUCUGUGGCGAAGGCGACUAUCUGGGCCAACACUGACACUGAGGCACGAAAGCGUGGGGAGCAAACAGGAUUAGAUACCCGAGUAGUCCCUGUCUCUUAUAC